GAUGAAGAACGCAGCGAAAUGCGAUACGUAAUGUGAAUUGCAGAUUUCAGUGAAUCAUCGAAUCUUUGAACGCACAUUGCGCCCGCUAGUAUUCUGGCGGGCAUGCCUGUUCGAGCGUCAUUUCAACCAUCAAGCCCUAGGCUUGCGUUGGAGCCCUGCGGCUGCCGCAGGCUCCCAAAUCCAGUGGCGGGCUCGUCGUCGUACCGAGUGCAGUAAACAUCCUCGCUCAGGGAACGUGACGGGUUCUUGCCGUGAAACCCCCCACAUGUCAAGGUUGACCUCGGAUCAGGUAGGAAUACCCGCUGAACUUAAGCAUAUCAAUAACGGAGGA
This 331-nucleotide unclassified non-coding RNA is filed under the name soil metagenome. RNAcentral's name for it is "partial contains 5.8S ribosomal RNA, internal transcribed spacer 2, and large subunit ribosomal RNA". The stretch from base 1 to 120 matches the Rfam family "5.8S ribosomal RNA", at positions 35 to 154 of the family's 154-position model. The record is from RNAcentral.